UACUACCCAAGGUUGGGGCUA
This 21-nucleotide unclassified non-coding RNA is filed under the name Mus musculus (house mouse). RNAcentral describes it as "oocyte_clustered_small_RNA3170". Lineage: Eukaryota; Metazoa; Chordata; Mammalia; Rodentia; Muridae. The record is from RNAcentral.